Molecule: ribosomal RNA, 811 nt
Filed under: uncultured Methylomirabilota bacterium
Lineage: Bacteria; Methylomirabilota (SeqCode)
Description: bacterial SSU rRNA
Rfam family: Bacterial small subunit ribosomal RNA
Source: RNAcentral
GACCAAAGGGGGCGAGCGAAAGCGGCUCCCGCUGAGGGAUGGGCCUGCGGCUGAUUAGCUAGUUGGUGGGGUAACGGCNNACCAAGGCAACGAUCAGUAGCCGACCUGAGAGGGUGACCGGCCACACUGGGACUGAGACACGGCCCAGACUCCUACGGGAGGCAGCAGUGGGGAAUAUUGCGCAAUGGGCGAAAGCCUGACGCAGCGACGCCGCGUGGGUGAUGAAGGCCUUCGGGUCGUAAAACCCUGUCGGGUGGAACGAAUUUCCUUUUCUCUAAUACCGGAGAGGAUUGACGGUACCAUCGAAGGAAGCCCCGGCUAACUACGUGCCAGCAGCCGCGGUAAUACGUAGGGGGCGAGCGUUGUUCGGAUUUACUGGGCGUAAAGAGCGCGUAGGUGGUUCGAUGAGUCGGAUGUGAAAUCCCUCGGCUCAACCGAGGACCCGCGUCCGAUACUGUCGAACUUGAGUGCAGGAGAGGAGAGCGGAAUUCCCAGUGUAGCGGUGAAAUGCGUAGAUAUUGGGAGGAACACCGGUGGCGAAGGCGGCUCUCUGGACUGUCACUGACACUGAGGCGCGAAAGCUAGGGGAGCAAACGGGAUUAGAUACCCCGGUAGUCCUAGCCGUAAACGAUGGGCACUAGGUGUGGGAGGUAUCGACCCCUUCCGUACCGCAGCUAACGCAUUAAGUGCCCCGCCUGGGGAGUACGGCCGCAAGGUUGAAACUCAAAAGAAUUGACGGGGGCCCGCACAAGCGGUGGAGCAUGUGGUUUAAUUCGACGCAACGCGAAGAACCUUACCAGGGCUUGACAUC